GCCAGAGUGGCAUAGUGGUUUGAGUGCUGGACUAUGACUCUGGAGACCAAGGUUCGAUUCCCUGCUCGGCCA
RNAcentral lists this transfer RNA (72 nucleotides) under Phrynosoma platyrhinos (Desert horned lizard). Its description in RNAcentral is "tRNA-OTHER". It matches the Rfam family "tRNA". Rfam says of the family: Transfer RNA (tRNA) molecules are approximately 80 nucleotides in length. Their secondary structure includes four short double-helical elements and three loops (D, anti-codon, and T loops). The record is from RNAcentral. Lineage: Eukaryota; Metazoa; Chordata; Lepidosauria; Squamata; Phrynosomatidae.